Molecule: transfer RNA, 86 nt
Filed under: Roseicitreum antarcticum
Lineage: Bacteria; Pseudomonadati; Pseudomonadota; Alphaproteobacteria; Rhodobacterales; Paracoccaceae
Description: tRNA_Leu_CAA
Rfam family: tRNA
About the family: Transfer RNA (tRNA) molecules are approximately 80 nucleotides in length. Their secondary structure includes four short double-helical elements and three loops (D, anti-codon, and T loops).
Source: RNAcentral
GCCCGAGUGGCGGAACGGUAGACGCAGAGGAUUCAAAAUCCUCCGCCCUUGCGGGUGUGUGGGUUCGAAUCCCACCUCGGGCACCA